UCUAGAUUGUUAAGUUUUCAGAAGAAGCUGCGUACGUCAGAGACCUCUCAGAUGAUUUGCUGCAGCCAACUACAAAACGGUCUCACAAUGUCUCAACCAAGGAAGUCAUAUUCUGGAAAAUUUUUAAGUGCCAACAAUUGAAGUGUUCCCUGCAGCUGCUCUAACACCUGCACUAGCAGCACCAGAGAUGAGAAUGAACUGAGGGAGGAAUCAGAAGCCCUUUGUUGGAGAACCCGAAUAUAUUCCCCUAGAAAGGCUUGCCAGACAAGGCAUCAACAACAAGAUUUGCAUUUGGUUGGGUGGGUUCUUCCCUAUGGUACUGUCAAAUAGCUGGUGAAAAUCUGAGAGUUUUGAUAUGUUUGCCUGCAUUUGGGAAGCUUCACAAAAAAGUAUUGCAGAUGCCUUUUGUGGGUUUGGGUUAUCAAAUGUUGAACUAAGCUAG
Long non-coding RNA from Ziziphus jujuba (common jujube), 442 nucleotides. RefSeq lists it as uncharacterized. The record is from RefSeq and is a predicted model, not a curated record. Lineage: Eukaryota; Viridiplantae; Streptophyta; Magnoliopsida; Rosales; Rhamnaceae. The transcript is spliced from 3 exons.